This 750-nucleotide ribosomal RNA is filed under the name uncultured organism. RNAcentral's name for it is "bacterial SSU rRNA". It matches the Rfam family "Bacterial small subunit ribosomal RNA", at positions 293 to 1053 of the family's 1533-position model. The record is from RNAcentral.
UGAGAGGAUGGUCACCCUACACUGGGACUGAUAUACUGCCCAGACUCCUACGGGAGGCUGCAGUCUGAGAAUCAUCCGUAAUGGGCGAAAGCCUGACGGUGCAAUGCCGCGUGGGGGAUGAAGGCCUUCGGGUCGUAAACCCCUGUCAGAGGGGACGAAAAACAUGACGGUACCCUCAGAGGAAGCCACGGCUAACUACGUGCCAUCAGCCGCGGUAAUACGUAAGUGGCGAGCGUCAUGCGGCUUUCCUGGGCGUAUCGGGUCCGCGUGGGGUUCGCCGAGUCCGAUGUGAUAGUCCGCAGUUCUCCUGCGGAACUGCGUCGGAUACUGGUGACCUUGAGUGCGCGACGUGUGCGAGCGGAAUUCCAGGUGCAGCGGUGGAAUGCGUAGAUCUCUGGAAGAGCACCGGUGGCGACCGCGGCUCGCUGGUGCGCCUCUGACCCUCAUGGACGUACGCGUGGAGAGCGUACUGGAUUAGAUACCCUGGUAGUCCACGCUGUGUACGGUGCGGACUCGAUGCGGGGGGCGGUCCCCUCCGUGUCUACGCCUAUGCGUUAAGUCUGCCGCCUGGGGACUACGGCCGCAAGGCUGAAACUCAAAGGAAUAGACGCGGGCCCGCACAAGCGGUGGAGCAUGUGGCUUAAUUCGAGGCAACGCGAAGAACAUUACCCGGGCAUGACAUAUUCCGGACCGCCUCGUGAAAGCAGGUUUUCCAUUCGGGGACCGGUAUACAGGUGCUGCAUGGCUGUC